AGCGAACGCUGGCGGCAGGCCUAACACAUGCAAGUCGAACGAACCUUUCGGGGUUAGUGGCGGACGGGUGAGUAACACGUGGUAACGUGCCUUUAGGUUCGGAAUAACUCAGGGAAACUUGUGCUAAUACCGAAUGUGCCCUUCGGGGGAAAGAUUAAUCGCCUUUAGAGCGGCCCGCGUCUGAUUAGCUAGUUGGUUGAGGUAAUGGCUCAUCAAGGCGACGAUCAGUAGCUGGUCUGAGAGGAUGAUCAACCACAUUGGGACUGAGACACGGCCCAAACUCCUACGGGAGGCAGCAGUAGGGAAUCUUGCGCAAUGGGCGAAAGCCUGACGCAGCCAUGCCGCGUAAAUGAUGAAGGUCUUAGGAUUGUAAAAUUCUUUCAGCGGGGACGAUAAUGACGGUACCCGGAGAAGAAGCCCCGGCUAACUUCGUG
Molecule: ribosomal RNA, 434 nt
Filed under: uncultured bacterium
Lineage: Bacteria
Description: partial 16S ribosomal RNA
Rfam family: Bacterial small subunit ribosomal RNA
Source: RNAcentral